GACGAACGCUGGCGGCGUGCUUAACACAUGCAAGUCGAACGGAAAGGCCCUGCUUUUGUGGGGUGCUCGAGUGGCGAACGGGUGAGUAACACGUGAGUAACCUGCCCUUGACUUUGGGAUAACUUCAGGAAACUGGGGCUAAUACCGGAUAGGAGCUCCUGCUGCAUGGUGGGGGUUGGAAAGUUUCGGCGGUUGGGGAUGGACUCGCGGCUUAUCAGCUUGUUGGUGGGGUAGUGGCUUACCAAGGCUUUGACGGGUAGCCGGCCUGAGAGGGUGACCGGCCACAUUGGGACUGAGAUACGGCCCAGACUCCUACGGGAGGCAGCAGUGGGGAAUAUUGCACAAUGGGCGGAAGCCUGAUGCAGCAACGCCGCGUGCGGGAUGGCGGCCUUCGGGUUGUAAACCGCUUUCGCCUGUGACGAAGCGUGAGUGACGGUAAUGGGUAAAGAAGCACCGGCUAACUACGUGCCAGCAGCCGCGGUGAUACGUAGGCUGCGAGCGUUGUCCGGAUUUAUUGGGCGUAAAGGGCUCGUAGGUGGUUGAUCGCGUCGGAAGUGUAAUCUUGGGGCUUAACCCUGAGCGUGCUUUCGAUACGGGUUGACUUGAGGAAGGUAGGGGAGAAUGGAAUUCCUGGUGGAGCGGUGGAAUGCGCAGAUAUCAGGAGGAACACCAGUGGCGAAGGCGGUUCUCUGGGCCUUUCCUGACGCUGAGGAGCGAAAGCGUGGGGAGCGAACAGGCUUAGAUACCCUGGUAGUCCACGCUGUAAACGGUGGGUACUAGGUGUGGGGUCCAUUCCACGGGUUCCGUGCCGUAGCUAACGCUUUAAGUACCCCGCCUGGGGAGUACGGCCGCAAGGCUAAAACUCAAAGGAAUUGACGGGGCCCCGCACAAGCGGCGGAGCAUGCGGAUUAAUUCGAUGCAACGCGUAGAACCUUACCUGGGUUUGACAUGGAUCGGGAGUGCUCAGAGAUGGGUGUGCCUCUUUUGGGGUCGGUUCACAGGUGGUGCAUGGCUGUCGUCAGCUCGUGUCGUGAGAUGUUGGGUUAAGUCCCGCAACGAGCGCAACCCUUGUUCACUGUUGCCAGCACGUUAUGGUGGGGACUCAGUGGAGACCGCCGGGGUCAACUCGGAGGAAGGUGGGGAUGACGUCAAGUCGUCAUGCCCCUUAUGUCCAGGGCUUCACGCAUGCUACAAUGGCUGGUACAGAGAGUGGCGAGCCUGUGAGGGUGAGCGAAUCUCGGAAAGCCGGUCUCAGUUCGGAUUGGGGUCUGCAACUCGACCUCAUGAAGUCGGAGUCGCUAGUAAUCGCAGAUCAGCAACGCUGCGGUGAAUACGUUCCCGGG
This 1343-nucleotide ribosomal RNA is filed under the name uncultured bacterium. Its description in RNAcentral is "16S ribosomal RNA". It matches the Rfam family "Bacterial small subunit ribosomal RNA", at positions 28 to 1378 of the family's 1533-position model. The record is from RNAcentral.